UACGUAGGGUCCGAGCGUUGUCCGGAAUUAUUGGGCGUAAAGAGCUCGUAGGCGGUUUGUCGCGUCUGCUGUGAAAUCCCGAGGCUCAACCUCGGGUCUGCAGUGGGUACGGGCAGACUAGAGUGCGGUAGGGGAGACUGGAAUUCCUGGUGUAGCGGUGAAAUGCGCAGAUAUCAGGAGGAACACCGGUGGCGAAGGCGGGUCUCUGGGCCGUAACUGACGCUGAGGAGCGAAAGCGUGGGGAGCGAACAGG
Molecule: ribosomal RNA, 253 nt
Filed under: uncultured bacterium
Lineage: Bacteria
Description: partial 16S ribosomal RNA
Rfam family: Bacterial small subunit ribosomal RNA
Source: RNAcentral